CGUAGUCCAGCGACCUGAGGGCAAACAGGUGGCCGUUGUCUGCGUUGAUGGAGACAAGGGAGGCGAGGGGCAGCCACAGAAUAGCGUCUUGACUCGGACCCAGCCAGAGACCCUCCCAGAAAAACAAAGAGAAGCAAGACUUGCCUUUGUCUAAGAAAUCGCUCUCCUCCCGCCUCCAUUGCACUUUCCGUCACGCUCUUCCAGGGAAUGUCGCCAAGCUGAACCCCAGACAGCGCUGGGAAACAGUCUUUUGCCCCACAACCUUUGCAGACGGCCUAGUGAAUAAGCCUUUCCAGAGGCUCAGACUUGCUGGCUCAAAAAUCUGCCUGGGCUCUCAACUCCUGGUUUACCACACUGGAUCCGUGCGUCACCGAGCAUGCACAAUGCCUGUGGUUUAAUUCGCCUUCUUAGUCAACAGCGCCACCAUGCGUUCGCUUGCAGUUUCAAAAUCUUGGAGAAGGUGUUUUUAUUUUGCUUUAUCGAUUAUUCUUAUCAACCCUAGUUGACGCUACUGGAGGAGUUUCUCAUGUUACAUGAAUUAAAUAAAUGCAAUCUAGGGAAAUAAAAUGCGCUUUUAUCUAAGAGCA
This 587-nucleotide non-coding RNA is filed under the name Pongo abelii (Sumatran orangutan). The record is from RNAcentral. Lineage: Eukaryota; Metazoa; Chordata; Mammalia; Primates; Hominidae.